Molecule: long non-coding RNA, 159 nt
Organism: Corapipo altera (White-ruffed manakin)
Lineage: Eukaryota; Metazoa; Chordata; Aves; Passeriformes; Pipridae
Exons: 2
Source: RefSeq, a predicted model, not a curated record
CCAGAGCACCGGUACCCAGGGUGCCUCCACCACCCUCCCCGCACCUGGGCAGGGCUGGGGCUGCCUCAUGACACCCAGCAGUGGUGGUGGAUAUUUGCAGUGUAGGCGUGGGCAUCGAUAGAGUGUUUUGUAGCUGUAUCUUAAAGCGUUUGGUGACAA